Molecule: transfer RNA, 65 nt
Filed under: Dipodomys ordii (Ord's kangaroo rat)
Lineage: Eukaryota; Metazoa; Chordata; Mammalia; Rodentia; Heteromyidae
Rfam family: tRNA
About the family: Transfer RNA (tRNA) molecules are approximately 80 nucleotides in length. Their secondary structure includes four short double-helical elements and three loops (D, anti-codon, and T loops).
Source: Rfam by way of RNAcentral
GGUGGCUCAGUGGUAGAGUACUUGCCUUGCAUGCAUGAGGCCCUGGGUACGAUUCCUCAGCACCA